RNAcentral lists this ribosomal RNA (497 nucleotides) under uncultured bacterium. RNAcentral describes it as "partial 16S ribosomal RNA". It matches the Rfam family "Bacterial small subunit ribosomal RNA", at positions 28 to 507 of the family's 1533-position model. The record is from RNAcentral.
GAUGAACGCUGGCGGCGUGCCUAAUACAUGCAAGUCGAGCGAACAGACGAGGAUCUUGCUCCUCUGACGUUAGCGGCGGACGGGUGAGUAACACGUGGAUAACCUACCUAUAAGACUGGGAUAACUUCGGGAAACCGGAGCUAAUACCGGAUAAUAUAUUGAACCGCAUGGUUCAAUAGUGAAAGACGGUUUUGCUGUCACUUAUAGAUGGAUCCGCGCCGCAUUAGCUAGUUGGUAAGGUAACGGCUUACCAAGGCAACGAUGCGUAGCCGACCUGAGAGGGUGAUCGGCAACACUGGAACUGAGACACGGUCCAGACUCCUACGGGAGGCAGCAGUAGGGAAUCUGCCGCAAUGGGCGAAAGCCUGACGGAGCAACGCCGCGUGAGUGAUGAAGGUCUUCGGAUCGUAAAACUCUGUUAUUAGGGAAGAACAAAUGUGUAAGUAACUAUGCACGUAUUGACGGUACCUAAUCAGAAAGCCACGGCUAACUACGUG